AUUGAACGCUGGCGGCAGGCCUAACACAUGCAAGUCGAGCGGAUGAAGGGAGCUUGCUCCUGGAUUCAGCGGCGGACGGGUGAGUAAUGCCUAGGAAUCUGCCUGGUAGUGGGGGAUAACGUCCGGAAACGGGCGCUAAUACCGCAUACGUCCUGAGGGAGAAAGUGGGGGAUCUUCGGACCUCACGCUAUCAGAUGAGCCUAGGUCGGAUUAGCUAGUUGGUGGGGUAAAGGCCUACCAAGGCGACGAUCCGUAACUGGUCUGAGAGGAUGAUCAGUCACACUGGAACUGAGACACGGUCCAGAUUCCUACGGGAGGCAGCAGUGGGGAAUAUUGGACAAUGGGCGAAAGCCUGAUCCAGCCAUGCCGCGUGUGUGAAGAAGGUCUUCGGAUUGUAAAGCACUUUAAGUUGGGAGGAAGGGCAGUAAGUUAAUACCUUGCUGUUUUGACGUUACCAACAGAAUAAGCACCGGCUAACUUCGUG
Molecule: ribosomal RNA, 484 nt
Filed under: uncultured bacterium
Lineage: Bacteria
Description: partial 16S ribosomal RNA
Rfam family: Bacterial small subunit ribosomal RNA
Source: RNAcentral